AUGAGUCCACGCGGGGCUGACGGACUCCCUGCCCGCCCAUGUCCCGCACCCUCCUCCGUCUCAGCGGAAACACAGGGGCCAGGAAGCCCUUCAGAAGUUGUCAGGGGUGACCCGGGGAGAGGAGUCCCGCGCAGAAAGUGCAAACGCCUUCGUGGCGGGUGGCUGCGCCCUUCCCCUGGGGCCCCUGCAGCAGAGCCCACAGUGCCAGAAGAAACGUGGGGACAUGUCAUCGUAGAUUUGACCGCCACACCACUGGGUCUUGAUUCCACAUCGGGCGCCACGAUGCUGUUACCUGUGCUGGCCAUACAGGGCAUGCUGGGGGCUCUGAUUUGUGUGAUCAUUUGCUCAGCGGCCCCCUCUGUGACACAGGCAGUGGAGACUACACCUACCCUUUCAGGAAUGACUCCCUGGAGAGCACCUACAUAGCCAACCAGCCCACCCAGGCCACCUGCCAAGAGGCUGAGCACACCGUCCUCCAGACGGAGUCUUCUUCUCCAUCCUCCUGGGCAUCCGAAUGGGGGAAGCUGUCCUGUGCCUCAGCCAUGUUGUCGGUGGACUCUGACACCUUCUGCAAUACAUGUGUCUGAAAAGGACAGGUCAGUGAGUCUAGAACCUAGGAAUUUUCAAGUCAUAUCCCCUGACCUAUUCCUCACAUCUCCCUCCUUCCCUGACCCCAUACUCCCAGAGGUAAUCCAGUAAUUGGGAAAUGCCUUUUGAAAUACAUAACUUCAUUUGCCACUUGGGGCUGAAUUUUCUUUCAGGAGAACAUAACUGACUUAUGACCAGCCUAAGAAAUUGCAGCUGAUUGGCAGAGUUUCCUGGAUUCAGGAGGACUGGAUUUGGUGAAUAUCAAUCCCCAGCGUACUGAGAAGCUGAAGAAAAGUCCCCAGUUUUAAUAAAAGCCAUCAGUUUCCAUCUUCUUUGCUUGAA
RNAcentral lists this long non-coding RNA (930 nucleotides) under Bos indicus x Bos taurus (hybrid cattle). RNAcentral's name for it is "lncRNA (ENSBIXG00000029419.1)". Lineage: Eukaryota; Metazoa; Chordata; Mammalia; Artiodactyla; Bovidae. The record is from RNAcentral.